Mus musculus (house mouse) is the source of this 527-nucleotide long non-coding RNA. RefSeq annotates it as predicted gene, 34500. The record is from RefSeq and is a predicted model, not a curated record. The transcript is spliced from 3 exons. Lineage: Eukaryota; Metazoa; Chordata; Mammalia; Rodentia; Muridae.
GCCAGGAAAUGGUAUGGGCACACGGUGCUCCCAGGGGGCUGUAACUGACUGUGUAGCCUGCCUUUCCUCCUGUGGGAAGCUCUCUUGAGAGCACUUCAGGAUGCAAGACAUCGGGCAACCAAGCAGCUGUGCUUCACAGUUGGACCACACCAAGCUUCUGCCUAUGCAGCCAUAAUUGAUGUUAUAAUCAGGAAAAGCAUUACAGGGAGGGGACAGCAAAUUUCCCGUGAAAAGGAGAUGGCUGGGUUGCUGACACAGGCUACAUCAUUGCAGAACCCUGAGAGCAGGGAAGAUGCAGACAGAAUGAAUGUGCAAGCUGAGGCAAUAUGGAGCAGUACCAGCCAUUCUGCAUCGAGAAAGACUGAGACCCAGCCCCUUGGAGCAUCUGAGUGAGCUACAGAGAAAGAGCAACUGCGUUCUCAAACUUAGAGAGCAUCCAGACCCAAGCCAGAGCCUCUCUCUCUGCCUCUGUGUAAAUCUGCUUGCAGCCCAAACCCUUGGAGACAGAUCAGGUGGAUCAAACCAGU